This 497-nucleotide ribosomal RNA is filed under the name uncultured bacterium. Its description in RNAcentral is "partial 16S ribosomal RNA". It matches the Rfam family "Bacterial small subunit ribosomal RNA", at positions 28 to 507 of the family's 1533-position model. The record is from RNAcentral.
GAUGAACGCUGGCGGCGUGCCUAAUACAUGCAAGUCGAGCGAACAGACGAGGAGCUUGCUCCUCUGACGUUAGCGGCGGACGGGUGAGUAAAACGUGGAUAACCUACCUAUAAGACUGGGAUAACUUCGGGAAACCGGAGCUAAUACCGGAUAAUAUAUUGAACCGCAUGGUUCAAUAGUGAAAGACGGUUUUGCCGUCACUUAUAGAUGGAUCCGCGCCGCAUUAGCUAGUUGGUAAGGUAACGGCUUACCAAGGCAACGAUGCGUAGCCGACCUGAGAGGGCGAUCGGCCACACUGGAACUGAGACACGGUCCAGACUCCUACGGGAGGCAGCAGUAGGGAAUCUUCCGCAAUGGGCGAAAGCUUGACGGAGCAACGCCGCGUGAGUGAUGAAGGUCUUCGGAUCGUAAAACUCUGUUAUUAGGGAAGAACAAAUGUGUAAGUAACUAUGCACGUCUUGACGGUACCUAAUCAGAAAGCCACGGCUAACUACGUG